This 106-nucleotide microRNA precursor is filed under the name Canis lupus familiaris (dog). Its description in RNAcentral is "mir-8834 microRNA precursor family". It matches the Rfam family "mir-8834 microRNA precursor family". The record is from Rfam by way of RNAcentral. Lineage: Eukaryota; Metazoa; Chordata; Mammalia; Carnivora; Canidae. RNAcentral also lists the same sequence under 1 other name.
AGGAGAAACACCAACAGUAGCAGGGCCAGCUCUCCAGCCCUGGAUUUAGCUCCUGCAGUAACUACGGAGCUCUCAGCCUGGAGGGCCUGGAUGCUCCUGGGGCGGG